GAGGGGGGCCAUUGCUCAUGCCUGUGCACAUUCAAAUGCAGAAAUUAAUAAAAAUACAUUUCCUUUUCAAACACUACCGAUUUCAGGAAAUAAAGUAUAUGUGCUGGCUUCGGUUAUUGAUGGGAUACUCAAACUGCAGCUGCAGUUGAUUAGUUUUACAUGUUGCAAGUGGCUAAAAGCAUCUGUUAUGAUAUUGAGCAUAAAAGCAGGGAUAAGUAUCAAGUACAGGACUGGGUGUGGACUGUGGAGUGACCAUAAAUCAACAAGUCAGCACUACAAAAUUAUAAGAGACACUGUCCAGUAAACUAUGACUGUUUCCUUUGCUGCUCAUAUAGACAACAAGAGAACAUACCUCUUCCCCUGCCUCUUCUGCCA
Molecule: unclassified non-coding RNA, 375 nt
Filed under: Zea mays
Lineage: Eukaryota; Viridiplantae; Streptophyta; Magnoliopsida; Poales; Poaceae
Description: misc RNA Zm00001eb091860
Source: RNAcentral